Molecule: ribosomal RNA, 487 nt
Filed under: uncultured bacterium
Lineage: Bacteria
Description: partial 16S ribosomal RNA
Rfam family: Bacterial small subunit ribosomal RNA
Source: RNAcentral
ACUCAAAUGAAUUGACGGGGGCCCGCACAAGCGGCGGAGCGUGCGGUUUAAUUCGACGCGACGCGCAGAACCUUACCCGGGCUUGACAUGCCCCUGCAAGCGCUCGAAAGAGCGUCGCCUUCGAGGGUGGGGCACAGGUGCUGCAUGGCUGUCGUCAGCUCGUGCCGUGAGGUGUUGGGUUAAGUCCCGCAACGAGCGCAACCCCCGCGGCCAGUUGCCGAGAUGUUUCUGGCCGGACUGCCGGUAGCAAGCCGGAGGAAGGUGGGGAUGAUGUCAAGUCAGCAUGGCCCUUACGUCCGGGGCGACACGCACGCUACAAUGGCCGGGACAACGGGUCGCCAAGCCGUGAGGCGGAGCGAAUCCCCCAAACCCGGUCUCAGUUCGGAUCGGGGGCUGCAACCCGCCCCCGUGAAGCCGGAGUCGCUAGUAACCGUGGGUCAGCAUUACCGCGGUGAAUACGUUCCCGGGCCUUGUACACACCGCCCGU